Molecule: ribosomal RNA, 526 nt
Filed under: Hansenula anomala
Lineage: Eukaryota; Fungi; Ascomycota; Saccharomycetes; Phaffomycetales; Wickerhamomycetaceae
Description: LSU rRNA
Rfam family: Eukaryotic large subunit ribosomal RNA
Source: RNAcentral
AAACCAACAGGGAUUGCCUCAGUAACGGCGAGUGAAGCGGCAAAAGCUCAAAUUUGAAAUCUAGCACCUUCGGUGUUCGAGUUGUAAUUUGAAGAUGGUAACCUUGGGUUUGGCUCUUGUCUAUGUUCCUUGGAACAGGACGUCAUAGAGGGUGAGAAUCCCGUCUGAUGAGAUGCCCAUUCCUAUGUAAGGUGCUAUCGAAGAGUCGAGUUGUUUGGGAAUGCAGCUCUAAGUGGGUGGUAAAUUCCAUCUAAAGCUAAAUAUUGGCGAGAGACCGAUAGCGAACAAGUACAGUGAUGGAAAGAUGAAAAGAACUUUGAAAAGAGAGUGAAAAAGUACGUGAAAUUGUUGAAAGGGAAGGGCAUUAGAUCAGACUUGGUGUUUUACGAUUAUCUUCUCUUCUUGAGUUGUGCACUCGUAUUUCACUGGGCCAGCAUCGAUUCGGAUGGCAAGAUAAUGGCAGUUGAAUGUGGCUUCACUUCGGUGGAGUGUUAUAGCUUCUGCUGAUAUUGCCUGUCUGGAUCGA